This 557-nucleotide long non-coding RNA is filed under the name Medicago truncatula (barrel medic). RNAcentral describes it as "lncRNA gene876". The record is from RNAcentral. Lineage: Eukaryota; Viridiplantae; Streptophyta; Magnoliopsida; Fabales; Fabaceae.
CUUUGUCAUUGUUGGUGUUCAGAUACUCAUUUUAUCGUAAAAAUAUUUGAUUGAUGGUUGCGCCUAAAUAAUCUAACGGUGACCACAGCUGUUAAGUAUCAACGGCUAAUGUUGUUCCUCUAUCGCGGGAAAACCAUGUGAAGGUAUAGUAAAUUUGGCGGGAAUUGUAGAGAGACUAUUUUUGUGGGGUUAGGAUAUUCUUCUUUUUCAUGGGGUGGGGUUAGGAUAAUUAAUUAAAUUAAACAAUAAAAUAAAUGAAUUUGAUUUUAUGCUUUGUUUCUUCUCCAACUGCAAGAGAGGGAAAUUUCCAGUGUUGACUGUUGUAUCGAACAACGACGACAACAAGGUACAUCCUUCUGUACACAUGGACCCACCCUACCAUGAAUUUCGGUUGUCACUUUGUGUUUGUAUUUUUUAAUACAUAUAUCUGCAAAAAGAAAUUAGGUUGGAAUCAUGCAAAAUUAAUCUUUCUAACUUUUUUUUAAAGAGAAUUCAUCUUUCUAAUGGGAUGAAAUUAAAAUGGAUAUCAAAAUUCUCUUUCAACAAGAUAAUCAACA